This 1407-nucleotide ribosomal RNA is filed under the name uncultured bacterium. Its description in RNAcentral is "partial 16S ribosomal RNA". It matches the Rfam family "Bacterial small subunit ribosomal RNA". The record is from RNAcentral.
AGAGUUUGAUCCUGGCUCAGGAUAAACGCUGGCGGCGCACAUAAGACAUGCAAGUCGAACGGACUUAACCCUUUGUUUACAUUGGGAGCGGUUAGUGGCGGACUGGUGAGUAACACGUAAGCAACCUGCCUAUUAGAGGGGAAUAACAGUGAGAAAUCAUUGCUAAUACCGCAUAUGCUAACAGUAUCGCAUGAUACAGUUAGGAAAGGAGUAAUCCGCUAAUAGAUGGGCUUGCGUCUGAUUAGCUAGUUGGUGGGGUAACGGCCUACCAAGGCGACGAUCAGUAGCCGGACUGAGAGGUUGAACGGCCACAUUGGGACUGAGAUACGGCCCAGACUCCUACGGGAGGCAGCAGUCGGGAAUAUUGCGCAAUGGAGGAAACUCUGACGCAGUGACGCCGCGUAUAGGAAGAAGGUUUUCGGAUCGUAAAGCUCUGUUGUUAGAGAAGAAUGUAGGUAAGAGUAACUGUUUACCUAGUGACGGUAUCUAACCAGAAAGCCACGGCUAACUACGUGCCAGCAGCCGCGGUAAUACGUAGGUGGCAAGCGUUAUCCGGAUUUAUUGGGCGUAAAGCGAACGCAGGCGGUUUUUUAAGUCUGAUGUGAAAGCCUUCGGCUCAACCGAAGAAAUGCAUUGGAAACUGGAUAACUUGAGUGCAGAAGAGGAGAGUGGAACACCAUGUGUAGCGGUGAAAUGCGUAGAUAUAUGGUAGAACACCAGUGGCGAAAGCGGCUCUCUGGUCUGUAACUGACGCUGAGGUUCGAAAGCAUGGGUAGCAAACAGAAUUAGAUACCCUGGUAGUCCAUGCCGUAAACGAUGAGUGCUAAGUGUUGGAAGGGUUUCCGCCCCUUCAGUGCUGCAGCUAACGCAUUAAGCACUCCGCCUGGGGAGUACGACCGCAAGGUUGAAACUCAAAGGAAUUGACGGGGGCCCGCACAAGCGGUGGAGCAUGUGGUUUAUUCGAAGCAACGCGAAGAACCUUACCAGGUCUUGACAUCUUCUGACAAACCUAGAGAUAGGCCGUUCCCUUCGGGGACAGAAUGACAGGUGGUGCAUGGUUGUCGUCAGCUCGUGUCGUGAGAUGUUGGGUUAAGUCCCGCAACGAGCGCAACCCUUAUUAUUAGUUGCCAGCAUUUAGUUGGGCACUCUAAUGAGACUGCCGGUGACAAACCGGAGGAAGGUGGGGAUGACGUCAAAUCAUCAUGCCCCUUAUGACCUGGGCUACACACGUGCUACAAUGGACGGUACAACGAGUUGCGAGACCGCGAGGUUAAGCUAAUCUCUUAAAGCCGUUCUCAGUUCGGAUUGUAGGCUGCAACUCGCCUACAUGAAGUUGGAAUCGCUAGUAAUCGCGGAUCAGAAUGCCGCGGUGAAUACGUUACCGGGCCUUGCACACACCGCCCGUCA